UCAGAAGAGGCAUUUCGUGCAAAGGAAGGAAUCAUCAAUGUUACCCUCUGCCCACUGGCCAUCUUCCCCUCCACCUUCAGGCACAUCUUGCAAAUGUUAUAGAACAUCUCAUCGUCACUGAUGAGGUCCCCAUAGGUUCUCCAUGGAUUAAAUCAUCAACAGUGACAGGAUUUCUUCUGUCUCCAUUGUGGUGUAUAAUCUAUAGACUAUAAUACUGUAUAUACUCAAUAGUAGACCACCUCAGCUAUCUACUCUCAGGAUGAAGUUGGAAGAUGUCUGACAGUGGCCUGAACACACUUAUUUGUCUUAGAGACAACCUCAAGUAUUAGACUGUUGAACAGAUCCAACUGGCUGUAAAUAAUAAUGGAUAAUCUGAUCUCUAAUCUUAUAGUCUAGAUGUGUUUUACAAAAUUAAGAGCUUUUAAUUCAAACCUAUAAAAAUAUGGUGCUUUACUUUAAGACUGCUUGCCCUCAGUACUUCCUGAGUGUAAUAAAUCAUUCUUUGAGUUAUGUCACUGAUUUCUAAUUAUAUUUAAAAUUACAAUUUAUGAACAUACAAGAUUUAUGAACAUGCAAGAUAAACAACCAAAAUAAUUGUAAGAACAUGACUGACUAUAUAAUGGAAAGUCACCUGGAAAUAAGCACUGCUAUUUGGUCUUAUUUAUUUCACAUUCCUCCUCAGCACUCCAUGAAUAAUCAACUGGAAAUGCUGAGGAAGAAGUCAUACAGACAGUUUUGGUUUUGACAUUGAUUUCCAUACUUAAGAAAAAACAUGGAAAUGUUAAAGGAAAUUUCACAUGCCUGUGGGUUGGCAUGGGGAGGAUGGAACACUUUUGAGAGAUUAAAAAAAGUAGCCAUGCAUAUUUUCAUGAAUAAUUUAUUUAUCAAAUUUUUCCAAACUGUGUUUUAAAUAUAUCAUUUUAUUGGCUCAAAUUCCUAUCAGAAAUACUUGUUCAUUUUUAGCCAGAAACUCCAUAGGUGUUAUAGAACACAAAAGUACACACACUAUGACUUACCCUUUUGUCUUAGCAUUUCAAUCUCCCAGGAAUGAAAGUUGCUUUAGGUUUCACAUUGAUCAAAAUAAUUCUGAAGAUUUCAAAUACCCUCCAACUUCACAACUCUGACUUAAUCUGCUUCUCUGUGGAGCAUUGUCUCUGCUAUGAAUCCCCACUGGCUUCAUUCUAGUAGUCUCUAAGCCAAAUUCCAAAUUGAGUGAGGUUUGUGGGUGAUAUUACAGAAUCGACUCUUCUUACAACUCACUCACUCUUCUGUGAUAAGAAUAACUAUAGUGAGAUUCCAAGAUGGUGAAUUUGGGACCAACACACUGUGAUAGGCUACAGAUGAACAGGAAGAAAAAGGAUAGGGAGUACACUCUCAGGAUAGAAUAGGAGAGAAAACUGCACUGGAAAUCCUACAACAGGAAAAGGAAUGUCAUGGACCUGUGUGGAAGGUGCAGACAUGCAGUAAGAACACCAGCACAAGCACAACUGAAGCAGCCAAGAGCUGGAGCAGGAGGCAGCUUGGAGACAGAGGUGAGGCUGGGCUGAAGCAACCCAUGGUGAUAUAGCCAGAGGGAGUCACAGUGUGAGUCUGGACUGGAGCUCUGGAGGCCAGCAGUUGCUACAGGUUGUCCACGGACCCAGUGGAAGGACAAGGGGCAUAUUUAAUUCACCUCAACUUCCCCAUGAAAGCUCCUGCUGCUUGGAUGAGAAGGAGUGAGCAUCAUUUUGGAUUAGAGCAGGAGCUGCAGAAGAAUUUGUGCACAUGCACAGCAACUGGCUGAGCAGGACUCCCUGUUUUUUGCAGUACUGGCAGUAAUGGUAAGGAGAUAGCAACAUUUGGCCAGUGACUUUUAUGUAUGCAUGUGAUCCAGUGACUCUAGCAAAGAGAAUACUAGGCAGUCCCCACUGACUUUGAGCCUGACAGGGAGGUAGGCGGUCAACCUCAGAGGACAAUAAAGCACCCACAGACUCCCAGGAGCAAGACACCUAGGCAGAACUGUCUCGGGGAACAUUUGCCACUCUAUUGACUGGACAGCCUGGUAGGGCAGAGAAACCUGUGCACUCGGAGUCUGUUGGGGCCUUUUGUACUGAGACUGUAGAGACUUGGUGGAUACAUGAAAAGGUACAGGGUAUAGUGGGGCCUGUGGGCAAUCACUGGUUGCAGCUCCACAUGCUUGGAUUUCCUUGGUUACUAAUAACAGGUCUUUGCAGCAGAAAAUGUGCUCACAGUGAAGACUGUGCAGAACACUUGUGGGGUUUAUAAUGGUUCAGAACACACCCAGGCAUUGAGAUCUACUAUAACCACCUGUGUGCUACUCUGGAAAUUACCCCACACCUAAGCGCUGACCAGAGCUCCGUGGCCAUACCAACCAUAUACCUCUGGGUAUUUAAUAAAAGUGCAGGCAUUACAUUAAGUCAUAGAUUCAUAGCUCAAAGAAAAAAAAAACUCUACCAUGAAAAGAAAAAAAACUCCACAAAUUUAUUCAUUGUAUUUAACUAAAUACAAAUGAAGAAAUUCAAGAAACAAUAAUAAAGAAGACCCUGUUACCCUCCCCUAAAGGAAUACAACUAUGUUUCAAUAUUUAAAUGUUUGGAUGAAGAGAUUGAGGAAAUUCUGGAAAUAGAAUUAAAAAGUAAACAUAGGUUAUUCUUAAGCAACCAGAAGCAAAUCCACAAACUUAAGAAAACCAUACAUGGUAUGAAUGAAAAUUUUCCUAUGAAACUGAUAUGUUAAAGAGAAAUCACAAUGAAAUAUUAGAAAUGAAAAAUUCAAUAGACCAAAUAAAAUAUGUGGUGGAAAGCCAUAACAGCAGACUUGGCAUGGAAGAAGAAGGAAUAUUGUCCUAGAAAACAAAACUUUGGAAAUCAUUCAAUUAGAUCAAAGAAGAAGAAAAAGAAGAAAUUAGAAAACUUAAAAACAGUGUUGGAGAUUUAUGGGAUACUAUCAAAUAACACAACAUACAGGUAUUAGAGUUCUUGAAGGUGUAGAAAGAGAGAAUGGAUUAGAAGCCCCAUUUAGUAAAAUAAUUAGAGAAAACUUCACUAAUUUGGAGAAAGAAAGGAACACUCAUGUAGAGGAAGUAUAUAGAUCUCCUAACAGAUAUUACCAGAAAAGAUAUUCACCAUAAAGACCAUAAAAUGUGCAUGAGAGAAAUCCAGAUUACUUUCAGAGGAUCCAGUUAGACUCACAGCUGACUUCUCAUCAGAAACACAAGCUAGGAGAGAAUGGCAGCAUAUAUCCCAAAUCUUAAGAGAAAAAAAAAAAAAACUGUCAACCCAGAAUCCUGUAGCCUGCUAUGUAGUCAUUUAUGAGUGAAGGUGAAAGAAACACCUUUCAUAACAAACAUAAAUUGAAAGAAUUUGUCACUUCUCAUCCAGCUUUACAUAAGCUGCUUAGGGAUGUGUUAUGCACAGAAACACAGAAAGAUAGCCAUCAAUAUGAAAGAAUGUAAAGUUUGAUAAUCCUCCAGUAAACAUACAAAAGAAAUCCAAAGUAAGCACUAGGAAUAUUUACUGGAAAAUGGCAGAGCCAAGUUGUUAAAUAUCAAUAGUCACAUUGAAUGUGAAUGGCCUCAACUAUCCAGUUAAAAAAUACAGGCUGGCUGAAUGGAUUAAAACAUAUGACCAUCUAUUUGCUACCUAUAAGAAAAACAUCUCACUACCAAAGAUACAUACCAACUGAAAGUAAAAUACUGGAAAAAAUUUUCCAUGCCAAUGGAAAGUAAAAAUGUCAGGUGUUUUCAUCCUAAUAUCAGACAAAAUAGAUUUUAACACAAAAAAUUGUAACAGAUGAAGAAGGGCUUUAUAUAAUGAUUAAGGAAUCAAUUCAACAGGAAGAUGUGACUAAAAUAAAUGUAUACACAGCUAAUCAUAAGGUGCUUAGCUAUUCAAAAGAAAUGUUAAUGGAUAUAAAAGGAUAUAUAGACUACAAUACAAUAGUAAGGGGGGAUAUCAGUAUCCAACAUUUAUCAAUAGAUCAAAUAGACAAAAAAAUCAGUACAGAAACAUAGGUAAUAGCGUCUAUGGACCAAAAGGACCUAACAGAUAUGUACAGAACAUUUCACCCUACAGUUGAAGAAUGCACAUCUUUCUCAUCAGUGCAUGGAACUUUCUCUAGGCUAGACCAUAUGCUAAGUCCAUAAAGUAAGUCUCAACAAAUUAAAAAAAUGUUGAAACACAACAUACAUCUUCUCUAGCCACAAUGCAAUGAAGCUGGAAAUCAACAACUCGGGAAUCUCUAGAUCAUAUGCAAACACAUGGGACUGAAAACAUGUUCCUGAAAGAACAGUGGUUCAUAGACUAAAUCAAAAGUGAAAUCAAAAAUUUUCUGGGAACAAAUGAAGGUGACAAUACAUCAUAUCAACAUUUAUGGGAUUAGGUGACAAUACAUCAUAUCAACAUUUAUGGGAUUCAGUAAAAGCAGUGUUAAGAGCAAAGUAUAGCAAUUGUUGCCUACAUGAAUAAAUUGGAAAGGAACCAAAUACAUGAGCUAUUAAUGUAUAUCAAGGACCUAAAAAAAUAACAAACCAAACCUCAAAUUAGUAGGAAGAAAUGCAUAAUUAAAAUUAGAGAAGAAAUAAAACUCAAAGCAAAAACCAACACAAAAGAUCAGUGAAAUGAAGAGCUUAUUUUUUGCAAAUAAGCAAAUUGAUACAUCAUUGGGCCAACUAACAAAAAAAGGGGGAAGAAGACACAAUUCAAUAAAUUUAGAGAUGAAAAUAGAAAUAUAACAGACACCACAGAAAUAAAAAGAAUCAUGAGGAAUUACUAGAACAAGCUGUGAGCCAAAAAAUUGGAAAACUAGAAAAAAUGGAGAGAUUCCUAGACACAUAUAAUCUACCAAAAUUUAGUCAUGAAGGCAUAGAAUAUCUAAACAGAUUGAUAACCAACAGAGAAUGAAUCAGUAAGACCUUUCCAACAAAGAAAAGCCCAGGACCUAAUGGCAUCACUUCUGAAUUCUACCAGACAUUUAAAGAACUAACAGUAUUAUUCUCAAGCUACUCAGAAAAAUUGAAAGUGAGGAAAUCCUCCCAAACUCCUUAAAUGAAAUGUUAAUCAUUUACUUUCUAAGUCAGAAAAAUGAUACAAUAAAGAGAACUAUAAACAAAUAUCCCUGAUGAACAUAGGUGUAAAACUCCUCAACAAAAUAUUAGCUACUCGAAUCCAGCAAAACGUCAGGCAUAUAAUUCACCUGGAUCAAGUGGGAUUUAUUUUUAGUAUUUAGGAAUGGUUCAACAUUCACAAAUCAAUAAUUGUGAUACAUUACAUGAACGAACUUAAGAACAAAACCAAUAUGAUUAUCUCAAUAGAUGCAGAAAAGCAUUUAAUAAAAUACAACAUCCUUUCCUGAGGAAAACCUUAAACAAAUUGGGUAUAGGAGGAAUGUUCCUCAACAUUAUCAAGGCAAUUUAUGACAAACCAAUGGUCAGCAUCCUACUGAAUGGUGAAAAGCUGAAUGCAUUCCCUCUAAGAUUCAGAUCCAGACAAGGACGCCUACUCUCAUCAUUGCUAGUUAAUAUAGUCCUGGAAGGUUUAGCCAGAGCCAUUAGGCAAGAAAAAGCAAUCAAAAGGAUAUAAAUUGGAAAAGAAGGAAUCAAACUAUCCCUAUUUGCAGAUGACAUAAUCCUAUAUAUAGGGAAUCUGAAAGACUCUACUAAGAGACUGUUUGAACUCAUAAAAGAGUUUGGUAAAGUGUCAGAAUAUAAAAUGAGCACAGAAAAAUCAAUAGCCUUUGUAUACACAGACAAUGCCACAGCUGAGAAAGAUCUUUCAAGAUAAGUCCCAUUAACAUUAGCUCCAAAAAUAAUUAAAUAUCUUGGGAUAAAUUUAAGAAAGAAGUCCAACCAAGUUCUCUUUGAUGAAAAUUACAAAAGCACUAAAGAAAGAAAUAAAAAAAAACAACAUUUAAAAAUGAAAAAAAAAACUUCCAUGUUCAUGACUUGGGAGAAGCAACAUCAUCAAAUGUUCAUACUUCUGAAAGCAAAUUAAAGAUUCAAUACAUUUCCUGAGACUAUUGUGGUUACUAGGCAACAGAAUCUGUCCUUUCCAGUUUGUGCCACACAAAACCAGCCAUAGGAGAGUCACUAUAGCAUGCCAGAUCUUAAAACCAAAAUCCUGAGGCAAAGCAAUCACCAAUAACCAUAAAAUCAUCCCCUAAGAAAAUUGGAUUUCCAUGUGCAGAAUCAUGAAGCAAAACCCCUACCUUUCACCUUACACAAAAAAUCACUCAACAUGGAUUACAGGCUUAAAUCUACGACCCGACACCAUCAAAUUAUUAGAGAGCAUUGGAGAAACUCUGCAAGAUAUAGGUACUGGCAAAGACUUCUUGGAAAAUACCCCAGAAGCACAGACAGUCAAAGCCAAAAUUAACAUUUGGGAUUGCAUCAAAUUGAGAAGUUUCUGUACUUCAAAAGAAACAGUCAGGAAAGUGAAGAGGCAACCGACAGAAUGGGAAAAAUAUUCGCAAACUAUGCAACAGAUAAAGGGUUGAUAACCAGAAUCUACAAAGAAAUCAAGAAACUCCACAAGAUCAAAACAAACAACCCACUUAAGAGAUGGGCCAAGGACCUCAAUAGACAUUUUUCAAAAGAGGAAAUCCAAAUGGCCAAUAGACACAUGAAAAAAUGUUCAAGAUCACUAGCAAUCAGGGAAAUGCAAAUCAAAACCACAAUGAGGUUUCACCUCACUCCAGUUAGAAUGGCUCACAUUCAGAAAUCUGCCAACAAUAGAUGCUGGAGAGGAUGUGGGGGAAAAGGGACACUAACCCACUGUUGGUGGGAAUGCAAACUGGUUAAGCCACUAUGGAAAUCAGUCUGGAGAUUCCUCAGAAACCUGAAGAUAACCCUACCAUUCAACCCAGCCAUACCACUCCUUGGAAUUUCCCAAAGGAAAUUAAAUUGGCAAACAAACAAGCUGUCUGCACAUUAAUGUUUAUUGCAGCUCAAUUCACAAUAGCUAAGACCUGGAACCAACCCAAAUGCCCAUCAACAGUAGACUGGAUAAAGAAAUUAUGGGACAGGUACUCUAUAGAAUAAUAUACAGCAGGGACCUGUAUACUUAAACAUGAAAAAUAUUAUUACUGCCUGAGGAGCUGAAGCCCACAGACUUGAGAAGGAGUUAAAAAACAAAAUCCUGAAAUUCAACAUGUAGGUAUGGUGAGAUUACUAACUGAUACAAUGAAUCAUCUUGGAAGCAUUUUACUCAGCUUCACUGUGAACCUCAUUUCCUACUUUUCCACACUGACUACAAAGCCAUUCAGAAGACAUAUUUUCUAAGGAGAACACAUGUUUUGAAGAGCAAUUGUACAGGCAACAGAACUAGAACUACUUCCAAACUUAGGGAAUAUUUUGGUACUAACUAACAUUGUUCACAGUUUCUCAUUUUAGUCUGUCAAUGUACUAUUCCUUGAAAUGAUGUUCCUAUUGUUUACUUUGGUGAAAACAAGUGGCAUCUCCAUGAUUAUUGGUUUCAUUUGUAUUCCCACUCUAAGAUUUCAUUCCAUCAAAAUCAAAAGCCUUGAGUAUGCUGGUUGUAUCUUAGCAUGUGAUUUUUAUUUAUUUCUGAAAGAUUUAUUUAUUUACUUGAGAGAGAGAGAGAGAGAGAGGGAGAAUUUUACAUCAACUGGUUCACUCCCCAAAUGGCCACAGUGACUGGGGCUGUGCCAGGCUGAAGUCAGAAGCUAGGAAACCUUUCCAUGUCUCCUGUGUGGGUGCAGAGGCACAAGUACAUCAGCCAUCCUCUGCUACCUUCCCAGGCAGAUUAGCAGGGGGCUAGAUUGUAAGUGGGGAAGCCAGGACUUGAACUAAGGAACAAAUGGGAUGUCAGCACCAGAGGUGGAGGCUUAACCUUCUAUAUCACAGCACCAGGUAUAUGUGAUGUUUAUAAACAAUUACUGUUUCAGGAUCAGUCUUUAUAAAAUGCUUAUAUUAUUUCCACAUACCUUAUGACCUUGCUAACAGAAGCACUCUCCAAACCUAAUUAUACAGUGUUCAAUCCAGAAAUGACUUAGUUACCGAAUUGAAUAUUUCAGUAUAUUUUUAGGCCAUAGUGUUCUAAUUUUGUAAAAUUUCUUGUUUCUCUUUUAAUUUUAAUUCUUUAUUUCAUUUAAUUUUUCUAAUGUUAAGAGAUAUAAAAUAAUCCCAGGCACUUCUAUGGGCCAGUGUGAUGACUUUUUCCUUUUAGAUGUGUUGUAGCACCAUGUUUAUUUACUGAGAACUAAUGCAUUCAUAAGCACUUUAAUAAUCUGUAAAAUGAACUAGUACAACUUUAUAGACAGGAUAUCAUUUUAUUUUUUAUUUAUUUAAAGAGGUACUACUUAUGUAAAUCUCAACUGUGGAUGUUUCUUGCUUUAUGAGAGAGAUUCAAAUUUCUUACACUGAAACUAGGUCAUGAUUGUUUAAUAUAUUCAGUAGUAUGCCUGUAAGCACCUUGCAGAUACACAUGGGAAUAAUGUAUUAUGAAAAUAAAUAGUUUUCUAAUGAUGUAAGCUGCCCAUAUGAAAAAAUGCAAUUCAAUAAUAGAAAGUUUACUGUAAAACUACAGCUGUCUCCAUUGAAACAGCUCAUACAGACUUUGAAGUAUUCAGGUAGCAGUGAGCACUGCUCCUGUGAUUCAUGGUUGGCAACCUCUUUUCUGAGUAAGUUCUUCACUUGUGGACCUUUUUGACGUAAGCAACUUCAAGUUUACUCUGAUGGGAACAUACAAAGUAUAGUAAAAUGUGAUUCCAGAAACAAAAACAAAUUUUUAUUAAAAGUUUAAAAAAUAAAAAUGAAAUGUAUGCGAAUGAAUGAUAACUAUGUAUGCAUUGAUUAUCCAUGAGAACAUCUAUAAAGGUUAUUACCUGAAAUCUAAAUGAGCACAUUUUUCCUUUUGGACUAUUUUUCCUUGGCUUUAUUUUCCCCUUACUCUGAUAAGUCAGUGUACAUUUUAUAGACUUCCAAUGACUCUAAUCAAGUGAGACUUGAGCUACUAGCACUUUUCUACAUAGGAUCCCAGGUUUUUAACUGUAUAUAAAGGUAGUUAUGGGAAAUGGUGUGCUCAUGUCCGAAUUUGAAAUAACUUAAUUGGUAUAGUGCAUGUAACUAAAAUGGUAACAUCUCUGACAUUAGCACUAUUGCUAAGCAUUUUCUUUGAGUCUUAUUGCUUUUCACUUUCUUCUUACUAACUUCUAAUGUUUUGAAAAUUUAUUGAAGGUUUAUACAACAUUUAUUUAACAAUAAAUUGCAGGCCUGUGAGCAGUGCUGGUAUUUCUUUUGUUUUGUUUUAAGUGGAACCAAAUUUCACAAGAAAGUGCCAGCUGUCAGCUAUGCAUCUCCAGCACAGAGUAAUCCAAAUAGUAAACUGAAUACCCCAAGUUUAUAGGUAAACAGUGCAAAGUAUCUAGGAGAGACUAGAGGAUUAACAUCUUUAACUUCCAAUAGAUGACAUUUCUGAUUUUGAAGUCCAAAAUUUAACAACUGCAGAUGCGAAGUUUUAUAUUCUUCUUAGUCAUAAUGUACAGCCUUAGAAAAGGCAAGUAAGUAUCACAUUGAAAAUGGAGUCAUACAAAAACAACAUAGGGUUUAAAAUAUUUCUUAGCAUAAUGUACAGGGCAUUUCAAGAAGCUUUUGCAAGAAUUAAAUUAAAAAUAAGAUUUUGAAGCGAAAU
This is a non-coding RNA of Oryctolagus cuniculus (rabbit), 9647 nucleotides long. The record is from RefSeq and is a predicted model, not a curated record. Lineage: Eukaryota; Metazoa; Chordata; Mammalia; Lagomorpha; Leporidae.